This 467-nucleotide ribosomal RNA is filed under the name uncultured bacterium. Its description in RNAcentral is "partial 16S ribosomal RNA". It matches the Rfam family "Bacterial small subunit ribosomal RNA", at positions 28 to 507 of the family's 1533-position model. The record is from RNAcentral.
GAUGAACGCUGGCGGCGUGCUUAACACAUGCAAGUCGAACGGUGAAGCAGAGCUUGCUCUGUGGAUCAGUGGCGAACGGGUGAGUAACACGUGAGCAACCUGCCCCUGACUCUGGGAUAAGCGCUGGAAACGGCGUCUAAUACUGGAUAUGAGCUGCGACCGCCUGGUCAGCGGUUGGAAAGAUUUUUCGGUCUGGGAUGGGCUCACGGCCUAUCAGCUUGUUGGUGAGGUAAUGGCUCACCAAGGCGUCGACGGGUAGCCGGCCUGAGAGGGUGACCGGCCACACUGGGACUGAGACACGGCCCAGACUCCUACGGGAGGCAGCAGUGGGGAAUAUUGCACAAUGGGCGAAAGCCUGAUGCAGCAACGCCGCGUGAGGGAUGACGGCCUUCGGGUUGUAAACCUCUUUUAGCAGGGAAGAAGCGAAAGUGACGGUACCUGCAGAAAAAGCGCCGGCUAACUACGUG